GCAGCUUCUCGUACUGCAGCCGAACUUCCUCCUUCAGUUGGUUCACUUUCUCCUGCGAGUACAGAGGGCAGGAGUGGGCAGGCAGGGCCAACUCCUGCUACAGACAGCGCCUGGGAGAACAGUGGGAGCUGCUGCCGCUUCAAGCCUGGGAAACUGGAAGGAAGAUGGGAAAUACCUGCCUGCCGUCCCCUUCACGACCCCACCCCAGUUCACCGAAUGAGCAAAUCAGGUUGCCAAGACACUGGAAAAUGCUGGAAAACAGGGAGCAGAGGAAGCAAGGCCCAGACCCCCCACCACCAGCAGCCUCCUUUCCAUCCCAACCCCCACCUGCCUCCCCAGGGAAUGGCUAAGAGCCAAGGCCCCACUUCCCACCUGGGAAAAACCCAUAGCUGAGAUCCGACCAGAUUUCCCAGCUCAGUUCAGAGCAAGUACUCUCUGCGCAGGCAGGUGGGCUGGAGGCACCUUACACAUGCCACCGCCCCAUCCCCCCACAGCAGUGCAUGGCCUGGACUGCGUACACUGGAGCAUGCAGGAGCAGAGCAGAGUGGAACGUGGCCUGGGCUAGAAGCUCUGGAGGCCCCAGGCCACCAGGGAGACUGGGACUAGGUGGGGCCCAGGGAGGACCUUCACACCCCCAGCCCUGCCUGUCGGGCCUCAGGCCUUUGGUGAUCUGCCCGGGGCCUAUGAGGACAAAAGCAUGAAGAAUCAGGAGCCGCCAUUCCCACCCUCCACCACCUGGGCCCCCACUCCUCAGCUUUGCCGCUGCUUCCUCUGACUCCCCUCCCGGCCUGGAGCAGCGAACCCUGAGCCCCUACAUUCCUGCCCCAGGAAAGCCUCAUGUCCCUCUGGAGACUGACUGGCCAGGCCAGCUGCCAUUUUUGAUGCCAGACUAGACUGGGCAGACGGGUGAGGCUUGGGGACUCUGGGCUGUAUAAAAGUUAAUAAAUAAUAAUAAUAAAACCCUCAAGUCAACCUUGAAGAGAAACAAGGUCAGGAGGAAACAGGGCCCCAGGGACUGGGACAGAGGCAGUCCCUAGGUUUUCAGACAAGACCAUGGCUAGCUCCAGAAGCCCCUGUGGUGGUGGGA
Molecule: long non-coding RNA, 1087 nt
Filed under: Homo sapiens (human)
Lineage: Eukaryota; Metazoa; Chordata; Mammalia; Primates; Hominidae
Description: HSALNT0359758
Source: RNAcentral